This 686-nucleotide ribosomal RNA is filed under the name uncultured bacterium. RNAcentral describes it as "bacterial SSU rRNA". It matches the Rfam family "Bacterial small subunit ribosomal RNA", at positions 62 to 719 of the family's 1533-position model. The record is from RNAcentral.
UCGUACGCUUCUUUUUCCACCGGAGCUUGCUCCACCGGAAAAAGAAGAGUGGCGAACGGGUGAGUAACACGUGGGUAACCUGCCCAUCAGAAGGGGAUAACACUUGGAAACAGGUGCUAAUACCGUAUAACAAUCGAAACCGCAUGGUUUUGAUUUGAAAGGCGCUUUCGGGUGUCGCUGAUGGAUGGACCCGCGGUGCAUUAGCUAGUUGGUGAGGUAACGGCUCACCAAGGCCACGAUGCAUAGCCGACCUGAGAGGGUGAUCGGCCACAUUGGGACUGAGACACGGCCCAAACUCCUACGGGAGGCAGCAGUAGGGAAUCUUCGGCAAUGGACGAAAGUCUGACCGAGCAACGCCGCGUGAGUGAAGAAGGUUUUCGGAUCGUAAAACUCUGUUGUUAGAGAAGAACAAGGAUGAGAGUAACUGUUCAUCCCUUGACGGUAUCUAACCAGAAAGCCACGGCUAACUACGUGCCAGCAGCCGCGGUAAUACGUAGGUGGCAAGCGUUGUCCGGAUUUAUUGGGCGUAAAGCGAGCGCAGGCGGUUUCUUAAGUCUGAUGUGAAAGCCCCCGGCUCAACCGGGGAGGGUCAUUGGAAACUGGGAGACUUGAGUGCAGAAGAGGAGAGUGGAAUUCCAUGUGUAGCGGUGAAAUGCGUAGAUAUAUGGAGGAACACCAGUGGCGAA